UUUCUUCUGCAACCAGGAUUCAA
RNAcentral lists this microRNA (23 nucleotides) under Heligmosomoides polygyrus. RNAcentral's name for it is "hpo-miR-10118-3p". Lineage: Eukaryota; Metazoa; Nematoda; Chromadorea; Rhabditida; Heligmosomidae. The record is from miRBase by way of RNAcentral.